RNAcentral lists this ribosomal RNA (253 nucleotides) under uncultured bacterium. Its description in RNAcentral is "partial 16S ribosomal RNA". It matches the Rfam family "Bacterial small subunit ribosomal RNA", at positions 524 to 776 of the family's 1533-position model. The record is from RNAcentral.
UACAGAGGGGGCAAGCGUUAUUCGGAAUUAUUGGGCGUAAAGGGCGCGUAGGCGGCUUGGCAAGUGGAAGGUGAAAUCCCUCGGCUUAACCGAGGAACUGCCCUCCAAACUGCUUCGCUUGAGACCGGGAGAGGUGAGUGGAAUUCCCAGUGUAGCGGUGAAAUGCGUAGAUAUUGGGAGGAACACCAGUGGCGAAGGCGGCUCACUGGACCGGUACUGACGCUGAGGCACGAAAGCGUGGGGAGCAAACAGG